Molecule: long non-coding RNA, 391 nt
Organism: Pogoniulus pusillus (Red-fronted tinkerbird)
Lineage: Eukaryota; Metazoa; Chordata; Aves; Piciformes; Lybiidae
Exons: 3
Source: RefSeq, a predicted model, not a curated record
GAAGAAAUGUUUAAUCUGAAGUCUGACCUUGUUUGAAGCCAGCUGUAGCUCCUCAUCCAAACUCAGUGCGUAGAGACUCACUCUGACCAGUCGACUCUUUGAUUCAGCACCACUGUGACCAGCGAUGGCAGGGAAGCACCAUGGAUCUGAGCUGAAGACUGACUCCCUCCAACAUGUCUUCCUGCAGAUCAUUUUCCAUCAGAGCUGCUGCAACGUGGAGGUUGAGCAGCCAACAUGUUUUAGGAGAUACAGCAGAUAUCUCUUGGCACGUGGUAGGGAAACAAGGAUCCAUGGCAAGGCUCUGUCUUCAGCUGCAGCAGUGGGAGUGACGAUGCUGCCCAAAGGAAGGGGCAGCUGAUGGUAAUCCUCAGGCACCCAGUCUACUGCUGAC